Molecule: ribosomal RNA, 1533 nt
Filed under: Escherichia coli
Lineage: Bacteria; Pseudomonadati; Pseudomonadota; Gammaproteobacteria; Enterobacterales; Enterobacteriaceae
Description: partial 23S ribosomal RNA
Rfam family: Bacterial large subunit ribosomal RNA
Source: RNAcentral
GUAUGCUGGAGGUAUCAGAAGUGCGAAUGCUGACAUAAGUAACGAUAAAGCGGGUGAAAAGCCCGCUCGCCGGAAGACCAAGGGUUCCUGUCCAACGUUAAUCGGGGCAGGGUGAGUCGACCCCUAAGGCGAGGCCGAAAGGCGUAGUCGAUGGGAAACAGGUUAAUAUUCCUGUACUUGGUGUUACUGCGAAGGGGGGACGGAGAAGGCUAUGUUGGCCGGGCGACGGUUGUCCCGGUUUAAGCGUGUAGGCUGGUUUUCCAGGCAAAUCCGGAAAAUCAAGGCUGAGGCGUGAUGACGAGGCACUACGGUGCUGAAGCAACAAAUGCCCUGCUUCCAGGAAAAGCCUCUAAGCAUCAGGUAACAUCAAAUCGUACCCCAAACCGACACAGGUGGUCAGGUAGAGAAUACCAAGGCGCUUGAGAGAACUCGGGUGAAGGAACUAGGCAAAAUGGUGCCGUAACUUCGGGAGAAGGCACGCUGAUAUGUAGGUGAAGCGACUUGCUCGUGGAGCUGAAAUCAGUCGAAGAUACCAGCUGGCUGCAACUGUUUAUUAAAAACACAGCACUGUGCAAACACGAAAGUGGACGUAUACGGUGUGACGCCUGCCCGGUGCCGGAAGGUUAAUUGAUGGGGUUAGCGGUAACGCGAAGCUCUUGAUCGAAGCCCCGGUAAACGGCGGCCGUAACUAUAACGGUCCUAAGGUAGCGAAAUUCCUUGUCGGGUAAGUUCCGACCUGCACGAAUGGCGUAAUGAUGGCCAGGCUGUCUCCACCCGAGACUCAGUGAAAUUGAACUCGCUGUGAAGAUGCAGUGUACCCGCGGCAAGACGGAAAGACCCCGUGAACCUUUACUAUAGCUUGACACUGAACAUUGAGCCUUGAUGUGUAGGAUAGGUGGGAGGCUUUGAAGUGUGGACGCCAGUCUGCAUGGAGCCGGCCUUGAAAUACCACCCUUUAAUGUUUGAUGUUCUAACGUUGGCCCCUGAUCGGGGUUGCGGACAGUGUCUGGUGGGUAGUUUGACUGGGGCGGUCUCCUCCUAAAGAGUAACGGAGGAGCACGAAGGUUGGCUAAUCCUGGUCGGACAUCAGGAGGUUAGUGCAAUGGCAUAAGCCAGCUUGACUGCGAGCGUGACGGCGCGAGCAGGUGCGAAAGCAGGUCAUAGUGAUCCGGUGGUUCUGAAUGGAAGGGCCAUCGCUCAACGGAUAAAAGGUACUCCGGGGAUAACAGGCUGAUACCGCCCAAGAGUUCAUAUCGACGGCGGUGUUUGGCACCUCGAUGUCGGCUCAUCACAUCCUGGGGCUGAAGUAGGUCCCAAGGGUAUGGCUGUUCGCCAUUUAAAGUGGUACGCGAGCUGGGUUUAGAACGUCGUGAGACAGUUCGGUCCCUAUCUGCCGUGGGCGCUGGAGAACUGAGGGGGGCUGCUCCUAGUACGAGAGGACCGGAGUGGACGCAUCACUGGUGUUCGGGUUGUCAUGCCAAUGGCACUGCCCGGUAGCUAAAUGCGGAAGAGAUAAGUGCUGAAAGCAUCUAA